UACGUAGGGCGCAAGCGUUGUCCGGAAUUAUUGGGCGUAAAGAGCUCGUAGGCGGCUUGUCACGUCGGUUGUGAAAGCCCGGGGCUUAACCCCGGGUCUGCAGUCGAUACGGGCUAGCUAGAGUGUGGUAGGGGAGAUCGGAAUUCCUGGUGUAGCGGUGAAAUGCGCAGAUAUCAGGAGGAACACCGGUGGCGAAGGCGGAUCUCUGGGCCAUUACUGACGCUGAGGAGCGAAAGCGUGGGGAG
RNAcentral lists this ribosomal RNA (245 nucleotides) under uncultured bacterium. RNAcentral's name for it is "partial 16S ribosomal RNA". It matches the Rfam family "Bacterial small subunit ribosomal RNA", at positions 524 to 768 of the family's 1533-position model. The record is from RNAcentral.